Non-coding RNA from Zopfochytrium polystomum, 70 nucleotides. The record is from the annotation of a GenBank genome assembly. NCBI's taxonomy places the organism in Eukaryota, Fungi, Chytridiomycota, Chytridiomycetes, Chytridiales, Chytridiaceae.
GCUGGUGUAGCAAAGUGGUAUUGCGUUCCCCACCUAAGGGAGAUCGUGGGUUCUAUCCCCACCAUGGGCU